Parelaphostrongylus tenuis is the source of this 71-nucleotide non-coding RNA. The record is from the annotation of a GenBank genome assembly. Lineage: Eukaryota; Metazoa; Nematoda; Chromadorea; Rhabditida; Metastrongylidae.
GCCUCGGUGGUGUGGUGGUAGCAAACGUCCCAAGUAUGGAUGAAACGCUGGUUCGACUCCCGUCUGAGGCC